CUAAUCUUUACUGUUGCAACAAGACUUCCCACUACCACAAAGACAAAGCAGCCAGAAGCCCUGAUCAAUUGUUACAUCAGCUUUUUAAAAGUUUCCCAUAGUACAUUUCCAGAAGCAUCAUCAAGACAUCAUAGAUAUGUCACAUAAUAGGUGUGGUCUCCAGGAAUGCCCCUGUCAAUCAAAUAUAGUAUUUCACAUGUACUCCAUCACAGUACAAAGGAAAGUAUUUACAGUUCCCUGGUCCCUGAGUCAAGUCAUACACACCCCUUAGUCUUGUCCAGGCUUCAUCCCAUUAUGGGGUGACUAGGCAUUGUGAUUGAGAUGGUUAUCUGUCUGACGCUCUUGGAGCAGGAUAUCUCCCGGUCAUGACUCCUUUCAAAGGACCUGCUGACAUGACUGUACAUCUCAGGAAUUAUGGUGGGCUCACUAACCCCUCACCUUGUACCUCACUUCCCUGGGUCCUAAAUGCCAUUGGAACUGAGAAGAUUGAUACGAGUGGUAUCUUAUGAAUUUCUAAAGUUUUCCCAUUGAGCCAGUACAUGGAUACAUUUAUCAGUGAAUUGCUACAUUUGGUAUUGGCGCUUACCCUGUUUUCCUAUGUUGGAGACCUGGGGCUCCUCCUGCAUACUGAGCUGAGCUGAGUUUCCCUUGCAGAUGCAAUGAUUUGCAGAUAUGUUGCUGUUAAUUUUCUUGACAUUAGGGGCUGCUGUCGGGAUCUUGAGUUUCUGAUUAGACAGGCACUGUUGGCCACGACUAGACCUAAUGGUCAGGGAUCCCUUUACCUUUACUUGUGAACGGAGUCUUGAACCUAAAUGCAGUGCUCCCCCCCUAAAAUGUUUAGGGGUACUCUCAUUUUGACUCAAGAAAAUCACCAUUUUAUAGUUCAAAUCAGGAGAAAUAAAUACUUUAAAUGGACAAAAGUACAAAGAUUCACAAAAUGUUUAGGGGUACACGUACCCCUGCGUCCCCCCUAGAAAAAAACACUGCCUAAAUGAAUGGUUUUGGUAAUGUGUGAGGCAAGGCUCAUGGUGGUGGGGUGUCUCUCAGCUCUGCCCGUCCUCUAACAUCUAUAGGUUUGGCUGCCCGUUGGAUAUCACCACCAAGUUUGGAGCGACGGUUCUCAAGGUGGGGCGCUUACAGAAAUUUAAGACUGAUAAAAUGAGAAACCGAGGAAACCAAAGUUGGCAGAUCUUUCUAUCCUGAAUUGCAAUCGGCCAGAGGUUUCCUAGCAGAACCUAACCUUUCUGCCCACCCCUGCUCCAUAUAGACAAACCUCGAUGAACCAAAUACAUGGACUAAAUUAGUGUUAAAUGGCAACCAGCAAACAAGGUGGUAGAGAAAGAUGGAUUUGGUGGACUAUGACGCAACCUAAAAUGCAAAUGCUUGAGGAAAACCAUGCAUGAGCUCAGGCUGUGUGUGUGUGUGUGUUGCAACAUAUAAUUGACCCAAUCAUAGUGUAUUAAUGGUGAAUUUAUACUGGCUUGCACACACAUUUUAUCAGGAAAACCAAGGUAUGACUGUAUUGCUGUUUGGAGAUGCCCUCUUGGAAUAGAGCCUGGGAGACCAGGGUUCAAAUCUCUUCGGCCAUGAAGCUCACUGGGCGAUCUUGGGCCAGUCUCUGCUUCUCAACCUUACGUACCUUACAGGUUUGUUGUGGGGAUUAAAUGAGGAGGGGAAGAACUAUGUACACCACCUAGGAGAAAACGGUGGGAUAUAAAUGCAAUAAUAAAAUAAAUAGAACACAAAAAGCAGGGCAAAAUAAAACAGAAACAGAACAUCUGUGGUGUAAAUAGUUAUAGUAUUUCAACAAGAAGUUAAGGGGCACACACCGAUUGGAAUCAAAGCAGUGUGCCCGAUCUGAAUUUUUGCAGGAGCAAACAGUACUGAGAGAGGGGUCACGUACAAAUGCUCUGAUACCAUCAUGUGCAAAAAUGGUCAUCAAUUCCUAAUUAAUAGGACACCUGGAGGAGCCCUCUGUCACACUGAAGGAUAGUUUGGGACCUGGGCAAAUGAAUGAACCUGAGACAGGGAAGUCCCUUGGUAGAAAGCAUGAGAAUAGAGAAGCCAGUUGCUUUAUUUGCCCCAGGAUUAAGCUUGCCAAGCCUGAAACUCUGAGUAACAAAGGGAUUAUUUUCCUUCCAAAAGCAUUUCAAUACAACCCAGGAAGAGAAUGAAGUUGCGCACAACGUAUGGGACUAAAGAUAAAUGCUGCCGGGGACCCAAAGGUGUGGGAGAUCAGCUGGGGGGAAUUAAAGGCUGCGCUGAAUGAUUUUGCUGCAUAAUACAUAAGAGGUCAAGGAAGAGG
RNAcentral lists this long non-coding RNA (2305 nucleotides) under Podarcis lilfordi (Lilford's wall lizard). Lineage: Eukaryota; Metazoa; Chordata; Lepidosauria; Squamata; Lacertidae. The record is from RNAcentral.